UUGUGCUGAUUGUGGUCUGAAGUUCAAACAUGAACAUAUUUCAGAACGUGUCUUUAAAUAAUUAUGUUAAUCUUGUAUUGACUCCAGGCCUGUUCAGAUUUAGCAGAUACUGCGUGUCAGCAGAAGGGUGGAGCUUCAGUUGUUUAGGGAGGAGUUAGGCAACAUUAAGCCCCUCCUCCACUAGUCCCAGCAGUUUUGUUGGAAUACUGUCACGAGGUCUGCGGUUGGAGUCAAACAGCAUGGGAUUGAGAGGACAGAUAUUGGGAAUCUCGGAGGAGGAAUCUACUUCAGUGACUCUCUGAAGACUAGUGUGAAAUACUCCAGGCCCAGUGAGACUGACGGCUCUCGGCUGCUGUUGGUGUGUGAAGUGGCGUUGGGUCGGUGUAAGGACCUGCUGAAGAAAGACAGCACUUUGACUUGUGCUCCUGACGGCUACCACAGAGUUCAUGGAGUCCAAUGCUGAAUUUGAGCUGCUUUUCUUACUCGUUUUCUGUGUGCUUAAAUGUCCCGCUUGUGUUUUUGGGAUCUCCCUGCUGGAAAAACCAGCAUAGACCAGCAUAUGUUGUGUUUUGGUGCUGGUGACCAGCAUGGGAUGCUGGUGGUAUCCCAGGUAGCCAAAAUUAUCUGGCCCGAUAACGGCCCAAAUCCAGCAAGCCGGAAGAAAUAGCUCGGACCGGAUGCGGUCACCGGACUCUUGUGAAUUACGGGAGUGAAUGACGCGCUAGAAUCGGCCCGAGUAUGCUGGUCCGAGUCCGGUUGCCGAAACUGAGCCAACACUGCCGGCAUCGGGCCACAAUCACGCCAGCAUAAAUUAUACAAUUAGCCGGUACUGGCCCGAGUCUGGAUACCAAAUGGAAAUGUAUAUGAAAUACAAACCAAUAUUCAUUUAAUUAAUAACAACAACAAAAUUUACCAAAACAAUAUUAUAUAUAUAUAUAUAUAUAUAUAUAUAUAUAUAGUCUACAUGGAUAAGAACUGUUCAUGUAAUUAAUUGGUUCUCUAAAAACUACAAAAAAAUUUAUUAUUAAAGCCAGUAUUUUUUUUUAACAAUGUUGUUUCCACAAAUAUCACACACACACACACACACACACACACACACACACACACACACACACACACACACACGUGCAGUUCCCCCUUCAAUACCCCCCAGUUGGAAUGACACCAUAUAAAUGUCAAAUUUUCAAUAAUAAAUUCUCAUAGUUUUUACAUCAACAAAUGCAUAAAAAACACUUUAGAACCUCUAAGAACUCCCAGGACCUCAAGUUUAUCCUAAAAGAGGACAGAAAAAAGGAAAGAGAGAUAAAGAGGGGAUACAUAUAGACACAUAGUUAGUCAGAUCUCAGUGAACUCAAUGGUAAAUGGUAAAUUUGGAGCAUACCUUAAGAAGAAUUUCUUUGUUGUAGGACCUGCUCUCUUCUUCCAUGCCUUCUGUUUAUAAACUUCUCAGUUUCUCCAUCCAGCACACUGCAGUAUUUGCAGAAAAAUAAAUAAAUAUUUAUAAAAAAUAUAUAUCAGAAUCAGAAAGAGCUUUUAUUGCCAAGUAUGCUUGCACAUACAAGGAAUUUCUUUUAGUGUCAAAAGCUUCCAGUUCACAGAGACAACAACGACACACAGACAAUAAAAAUAAGAUGAGAAUAAAAAAAAGCAUUUAACUGUUCUGUAGAUUGCCUGGGGGAAGAAACUGUUCUUGUGCCUGGCUGUCCUGGUAUAUGUGUGUGUGUGUGUGUGUGUGUGUGUGUGUGUGUGUGUCAGUCUGGUAUAUGUGGCACAAGUUUGCCUAUUUAAACAUGAAGCUGGUUUUCCUAACUUAGCAUAAAGACCAGGUAGGAAGAAAAAGUAAAUCACAAAAAUAUAAGAAAUGUAGCAGGAACAUUAUUACACUAUUCACAUAGUAUGUUGUGUAAUUAAAUAAUUACAAUUCACAAACAAACUACAAAAAACAUAACUUUUAAAACAGAUCAGAUAAUGCAAGCCUGUUAAAUAAAUAAAUAAAUAACUGCUGCAUGACAUAUAUUUAAUGAACCUAAAUAAAAAGCAGACAGUCAGUUUAAAAAUAUAUACUUACAAAGCCAAAGCCUGUGCUGUGGUGUGGUGUGGUGUGCUGUGCUGUGGUGUGGUGUGCUGUGCUGUGCUGUGCUGUGCUGUGCUGUGCUGUGGUGUGGUGUGCUGUGCUGUGCUGUGCUGUGGUGUGCUGUGCUGUGCUGUGGUGUGCUGUGCUGUGCUGUGCUGUGCUGUGCUGUGCUGUGCUGUGGUGUGCUGUGCUGUGCUGUGGUGUGCUGUGCUGUGCUGUGGUGUGGUGUGCUGUGCUGUGCUGUGCUGUGCUGUGCUGUGGUGUGGAGGCUUUGGGGUGCAGCAGCUACUGACACACAAACAAAGGGGAGCAAAAGAAAAAGCGUCACUCAAUAUCAGAUAAUGUUUGUACAAACUGAACAUGGCAAAUCCAAGAUGCAGGAUGACUGCUUGACUGAUAACUUACAACAAUCGGAUGACAAUCUGAAAAAAGAAAGAAAAAAAUAAUAAAUAUUUUCAUUAUUGAAAAUAAUUAUAAUUUUACUUGAAUAUGACUUUUAUUUCUUCCCUGGUGUAUACACAUGCAUACAUGUUUUACUUUUAUUGUAAUUAUUUGUUAUUAAAAAAGCAGAAAUAUUAUUAUUUUUACUAUUAUUAUCUCUUAAGGAUAGGCUACAUUGGCUUGUGUGAGUCUUCUGUCUCUCGCUCGCUCUACCACACACGCUGAGAGAGAGAGAGAGAGAGAGAGAGAGAGCGUUCAGUGUGCGUCAGUGUCGCGCGCUCUCACUCAGACAAAUCUGUGGGACAACACUGCUUAAAUGUGAAAAUAUUAAUUGUAAAAUGAAUAUAUAGGCUACAUUUUUUUAAACUAACGUUACCUUGACCGACAUGAAUGUGAAACGAAAGGAGGUUUUCUCAGUUCUAGCAGAUCUGCGCAAAUGACGUCACACAGAUAUAACGGCUUUGACGGUAAUUAACGGAGCUGAAGAGCGGGCCGUACAAAAUAAAGACGGAAAGGCUCCUUUAUGUGAGCAGUAGGCUUAUGGUACAUUUAAAUGACAGGCCGUCGAUUUUAUACUUAUGUACACAAAACAUACUUUACCUCGUGAAAGCUCUCCCGUCAGUCGACGUCCACUCAGAGUCCGGCUGUGCGCGUCACGUGACGACCGCAGCUUAUAUAACCUCCGGUUCUUUCGCGGGCUUUGCACGUGAGGUGUAAAAUAGUUAAAGUUAAAUUUAUAUCUAUUGAUUGAUUUUUUUUUUUUUUUUAAUAAUCUAAGAUGUAGGCUACAUUUAAAUCAUUACCUCGUUAUAUUUUCCCUGGCAAAAAAAAAAAAUUAAAGUAAAUUACACGCGCAUGUUUGUUUUUUGUGAAAAGUGGGGACUCUCCAUAGGUGUAAUGGUUUUUAUACUGUACUUACUGUAUGUGCUAUUGUCCUACACCAACCCUACACCUAAACCUACCCCUUACAGGAAACUUUCUGCCAUUUCAGAUUUUCAAUACACUCCACUCUGUGUGAUUUAUAAGCGUUUUGAAAAGUGGGGACAUGGGUCAAUGUCCUGAGAUGCCACCUUCUCCUUGUAAUACCUGACAUACCCUCGUCAUUAUACACAUCUAUGUCCUGAUUUGUCACAAAAACACAGUAGCCGUUCACUGCAGAACAAAGAUCCAGGGGGCGGGGUUGGAUCCACAUCCAGGGGGUGGAGAUGGGUGGGUUUAGGUAAAUGUAAGGUGGGAGGAGUUGGAUCUAGAUCCAACCACACCCCCUGGAACUUGUGUUCUGCAGUGAGGACCAUCUCCAAACGCGCAUGCAUACACACUGCAACACCUCCUUUCUUUAAGAUGUUACUCUGAGGGGGUUCAACAGAAAUUUGAUCGGUACUGAAUAAAACCACUUCUCCAAACAAAUAAUUUUAUAGUUCUAAUUUAUUCUUCCCCCAAAAGGUGUACAUAUACCCACACAGGUGCAAAAAUCAACAAAUAAACCAUGCAUCGAUUCAUAAGCACUUUGUCUUAUAACUGCGUCAAUGAAGUGAAACUUAUCGUUCCUGUACAGAUGAUGUACGAGAAGUUAUGAGAGAUGAGUCGAUGUUUAAAGCCACAAAGAUAUUUUGAGUGCGAUGCAAUGUUAUGAAUCCUAACACCCUCUGUAUCGUUGGCGUUCAGAGUGUCGCUGUCCUGGGUGUCGCGUUGGAUGACCACAUGCGGUAGCUCUAACACUGCGUGGGCCUCCGAAGACACUACCUCUCGUAUACAGCGGUGAUUAGAUGCAGCCGAUCAAUGACACAUGAAGAAAGAAAGGUGUAGACAUAGGCAUUUAAAGUCCUUUCUAAAGAAAAACAAACGGCUGACAUCAGUGAUUACAUUUUGCAAACAUGUCAGGCAAAUAAAUCAUCCAUACUCACAGCUGAGCAAAAACUCCAAGAGUUCUCAACUAAGGACUUUAGUAGAGCAAGCAGGUAGCAUACGUUCAACCAAAUGGUUUCCCUCUACCAAACAAACUCACUUACUCUACUGCGUCCGAGCUUAUAUGCCCGGUUACCUCCAGGCACUAGCGCCCUCAAGCUGCUCCUAGUGGUACUACAUUCAACCAGACACCUCUUAAGCAAAAUAAGUGAAAAUACAAUAAAAAAAAAAAGAAACAGGUAAUGGUUAGACUGUUACAACACACACACACACACACACACACACAUAUAUAUAUAUAUUGUUACAGUUAUUAAUAAUAAAGUUUCACUCACUGAUUUCAGAAGAUGGCAGCAGAGAAUCACUUAUUGGCUCAUUCUACCCACUAACCUAAGUUUUUCUGUGGUACUUUUAUUUGGACAUAAUAAAAUCACUACUAUAACAUCUGAAAUCAUAUUUUGUAAAACUUCUUACUGAGGUAUCAGUUUUUGCAAUCACACACAGUCAGAAAGUGUCAAUUUAGAGUAAGGGAACAUUUUUAAAUUAUAAGCAAAGUCCAUUUGAGGUCAGCCUACAAAUUAAUAGAAAUAUUAAUUAAAAUAAUAAUAAAAUUGAAUAAAUAACUUUGACAGGCAAAAGGUUUGACAACUCUAAAGUGUUUUGUUUAAAAAUAUAUAUUUUUGUAAUUUUAUAAUUCAGCCUAAUUGAUUGAUUGUGUGUGUACAGGUUUAAUUUCCAAAGUGUGGACCAAAUAUUCAGAUAAGGAGCAAAUAAGGAGUAAAACUUGAAUUUUUGACAUUUUAGGACUGAGACUUCUGGCCCGCAGUCGGGCUGAAUGUGGCUAAAUGUGCCGUUUCUCAACCAGAAUCGGGCCAGAUCCACAGAUCCAAAACCUAGCCAAAUCUGGCAACCAUUACUGGGCUGGACCUGGCUCAAUUCUGGCAAGCCGCUGCCAGCACACAGCCGAGUGAGCCGACACUCAGCCACAUUCGGCCCGAUUCCGCUGGCUACCUGGGAUGCUGGUGACCAGCAUGGGAUGCUGGUGUAAUGCUGGUGACCAGCAUCACCAGCAAGACCAGGCUGGUAAACCAGCAUCACCAGCAAGACCAUGCUGGUAGACCAGCAUCACCAGCAAGACCAGUAGACCAGCAUCACCAGCAAGACCAGGCUGGUAGACCAGCAUCACCAGCAAGACCAUGCUGGUUGACCAGCAUCACCAGCAAGACCAGGCUGGUAGACCAGCAUCACCAGCAAGACCAGUAGACCAGCAUCACCAGCAAGACCAGUAGACCAGCAUCACCAGCAAGACCAUGCUGGUUGACCAGCAUCACCAGCAAGACCAUGCUGGUUGACCAGCAUCACCAGCAAUACAAUGCUGGUAGACCAGCAUCACCAGCAAGACCAGUAGACCAGCAUCACCAGCAAGACCAGGCUGGUAGACCAGCAUCACCAGCAAGACCAGUAGACCAGCAUCACCAGCAAGACCAGGCUGGUAAACCAGCAUCACCAGCAAGACCAUGCUGGUAGACCAGCAUCACCAGCAAGACCAGUAGACCAGCAUCACCAGCAAGACCAGGCUGGUAGACCAGCAUCACCAGCAAGACCAUGCUGGUUGACCAGCAAGACCAUGCUGGUUGACCAGCAUCACCAGCAAGACCAGGCUGGUAGACCAGCAUCACCAGCAAGACCAGUAGACCAGCAUCACCAGCAAGACCAUGCUGGUUGACCAGCAUCACCAGCAAGACCAUGCUGGUUGACCAGCAUCACCAGCAAGACCAUGCUGGUAGACCAGCAUCACCAGCAAGACCAUGCUGGUUGACCAGCAUCACCAGCAAUACAAUGCUGGUAGACCAGCAUUGUCUUGCUGGUCCACCAGCUAAACCAGCACCAAACCAGCAUAUACCAGCAUAAACCAGCAUGGAAAUUAUGCUGGUCUAUGCUGGUUUUUCCAGCAGGGCUGAUGUGUGUUUGUAUUUAAACAGGAUGAUGAGUUUGUGGUCUAUAACACAGAGCAGAUCAGACUGAAGUAUGUGGUGCAGUACAGUCUGGAGGGAGACGAGUUAAAAGAGUUCCAGCCUCAUAUUAACACUCAGCUCACAGCUUACAGACACAACGGCUGGCGUCUUGUCCAGUGACGACAGUGAGGGUCUGGAGUCCACUAAGAGUCCUCUGGAGAAGAUGAACGCAGGUUUGCUGGACAGCAGUGGUCAGAAACCUCCUCUACAGGCUGUCAAUGUGAGGUGCAAGCUGAUAGACCUGCUGUGUCAGAUCAUCAUAUUUCAGACCUACACAAACCAGAGUGCUGUUCCCUUUGAAGCGAAUAAUGUGUUUCCACUCCAUGACUGCAGAGAUCUUCAAAAGCCUAAAGCCACACAAGGAAACUCUCAGAAGAACUUCCAGCGCGUCAUCACGCAAACAACCAAUCACCGCGGGGUUUCCCAAAAGCACGUCAUCCAACGACCCAUCGCCAUCCAAUCCGCAGCCCCGGGAUUCCCUCAGACAAGCCAUCGAGGAAGCCCGCUCCGUAAAUCUCCUCUUCAGUGUGUGUGUGUAUGUGUUCAUUGAUUUAGUCCCAUGUGUUUAGCUUAGUAAUGUGUUAGAAUAGCUCCAAUAAACUCAUGUUUCAUUUAUAAAGAAGUAUUGUCUUGUGUUGUGUAUUUUAAACUAAACAUUUGCCCAGAUCUUGUGUUAACUUGCUCACAAAUAACUAAAAUACCAGUUUUGUGUUAUUACUGUUGGCCACGGAAUAAGCAGAUUUGGUAAGAUACACUAAAGUUGACUAAGACGCUGGACGAAUAGUUGAUGAAGUGUAAGCUGUAGAUUUUUAAUCAGUUCAAUUAAAUCAAAAUCGCAACGGAUCAGUCAGGUCCAAUUCCCUAAGAAGAUAAAAUUUGAGUUAAUUUCUUACAAUGUAUAUAUCCUUAUACUCCAUCAAU
This is a long non-coding RNA of Onychostoma macrolepis, 7353 nucleotides long. RefSeq lists it as uncharacterized. The record is from RefSeq and is a predicted model, not a curated record. The transcript has 5 exons. NCBI's taxonomy places the organism in Eukaryota, Metazoa, Chordata, Actinopteri, Cypriniformes, Cyprinidae.